RNAcentral lists this ribosomal RNA (492 nucleotides) under uncultured bacterium. RNAcentral describes it as "partial 16S ribosomal RNA". It matches the Rfam family "Bacterial small subunit ribosomal RNA", at positions 29 to 507 of the family's 1533-position model. The record is from RNAcentral.
AGUGAACGCUGGCGGCAGGCCUAACACAUGCAAGUCGAACGGCAGCACAGUAAGUUCUUGCUCUUAUGGGUGGCGAGUGGCGGACGUGUGACGUAUACAUCGUACUCUACUCUUUCGUGGGGGAUAACGUAGGUAAACUUACUCUAAUACCGCAUACGACCUACGGGUUUAAGCAGGGGAUCUUCGUCCCUUUCGCGUUUGCAUGAGCCGUUGUCGGAUUAGCUAGUUGGCGGGGUAAAGGCCCACCAAGGCGACGAUCCGUAGCUGGUCUGAGAGGAUGAUGAGCGACAGUGGAACUGAACCACGGUACAGACUCCUACGGGAGGCAGAAGUGGGGAAGGUAGGAAAAAGGGCGCAAGACUGAACAAGCGAUGCAGGGUUGGUGAAGAAGGCCUUCGGGGUGUAAAGCCCUUUUGUUGGGAAAGAAAAGCAGCAGGUUGAUACACGGCUGUUCUGACGGUACCCAAAGAAUAAGCACCGGCUAACUUCGUG